Long non-coding RNA from Vicia villosa (hairy vetch), 1145 nucleotides. RefSeq lists it as uncharacterized. The record is from RefSeq and is a predicted model, not a curated record. The transcript is spliced from 4 exons. Lineage: Eukaryota; Viridiplantae; Streptophyta; Magnoliopsida; Fabales; Fabaceae.
CAUUUCUUCUUCUCUCUUCUCUCUCAUCAAACCCUUAAAAUGUCUGGAAAAAAGCCACAAGACCCCACCACACUUAAACCCUUGGCCGACGACGAGAAGUGCCAGCCCUUCAACCACCGUCUCUGUAACUGUGGUUGCGGCAGCUGUCAUCGUGAUCAAGGAAAGUUUAUAAUGUGUACUCGGGAUGCAUAAGAACACUUGAUGACUGCUUCUUGCAACCGGAGGAGAGCCUUGAAUGCAAUUCAAGGCCUGUUAUUCCUCUAAACUGCCCACCUGCUAUGCGAGUUUUAAUUGAACAAUGUUGGCCCUUGAAUCCAGACAAAAGGCCUGAGUUCUGGCAGGUUGUUAAGGUAUAAACAUACUGCACUGAAUCAAUAUUCUUGAGCAAUUAGUGUCAUCACAAACUAAUGGGGACCUGUUUAUGGUCAGAGUGAUCCAUACGUGUGUGGAGAACACGAUCUUUACGCUGUUGAUUUUAAGAAACCAGUUGAAAGGUAUCAUAUCCUAUUUAAUAGCUAUAACAAUGCUGCUAUGUCCUGUGAUAUGGUCUGUUUUCAAAUAGUAGGAUGUAAGCAUAAUUUAAUGACAUCCUCUUUCAGUAAGUAUUUCAUUGAUCUUCAUUAGAUAUCAUUUGAUUGGGUACCAUUUGCAAAACUACAUAGGCAUGCUUAUUGUUGGCUUGCAUUGCAUUUUGCAUAGUUACUUUUCUAAAGGAUUGUGUGUGGUGUUAAUAUGAUUGGAGGCAUGCUUAAUAUUCUAAAGAUAAUGUGUCUUAAUAUGAUUGGAGAUGUAAUUUUGUUUCUUGGAAACUAUGCGUCAGCUUGUCAAGUUCAGUGUUUGCAUUUCUCAGUUAGACACGCACAAGUACAGUUCUGGCCAUAACAAGACCUCAUCUCCACUCUUCCCUAUUUGUGGUAUCGAUGAAGUGCUGUCCAAUUCAAGACCUAUAAACAAAUCUCACUCUCAUGUUGUUUCUCCUGCUAUUGCUGUGAAUCUCGUGACUUUUAUCAGAACCAUCAAGUAAUACGGGAAGAUUUUCACCUAUAGCCAUUUUUUAGAUUCUUUCUGAAAUUCUAUUAUGUAUGUAUAUUUGUUUAAAUUAAUAGGACUUUUUAAUUUUGUUAUAUGAAAAGUAAUAUUACUUC